RNAcentral lists this long non-coding RNA (4213 nucleotides) under Sus scrofa (pig). RNAcentral's name for it is "lncRNA (ENSSSCG00035018005.1)". The record is from RNAcentral. Lineage: Eukaryota; Metazoa; Chordata; Mammalia; Artiodactyla; Suidae.
AAAAGCUAGAACUAAUCUUGGCCUCUAUUGAUGUCCACAUAUUGCAGUUUUACCUAUUUAAGUGAAAAACGUCUUGCUUAAGACUUUUGUAGUCCCUCUAGUUUAUCUGGUUAUUGUCAUUCUCCUAUGGAUCCUUAAUACAGACUAAAUAACAAACUCUAGAUUUAAAAAAUGUAUUAACCUAGUUUCUCUUCUACUCUAAUAUUUGUCAACUCAUAAAUGUUUGCUAUAGAACUCCAAGUACCUAGGUGAUGGAGUUGCAUUUGCUGCCAGUUUGAAAAACAGAUGACAGAACACGCCCAUUUGUGUAAUUAGUUUAUUUAAAUACUGAUUGAACAAAGAGGAUUGCUUUUUACAUGCAAAGUAUGGCAAUUGGUAGCUCAAAGUGUUAUCCAGAUAUCUGCUCUUCUUUCUGUUAGUAAUUUUUUUCAUAUGUUGAUCCUUUUGUUGAAAACCACACCAAAAGAUACUCUUCAAAAUAUAUCCAUUAAUUCAACCUCUCCUUCUCCUUGUUUUAGUCCCUCACUGGUCUAGUAUUUCAUCCCAGUGAGAGGCAGAAUAAUGGCCUCCCAAAGAUGUCUAUGACCCAACCCUUGAAACCUAUGACUAUGCUACUUUUACUUGGCAGAUAUGAUUAAGGUUGAGGGCCUUGAGAAAGGGAGAUUAUCCUCAAUUGUGGAGGUAGGCUCAAGCCUAAUCACAUGACUCCCUAAAAGAAACUUUGUGGCUGAGGUAAGAGUGAGAGGUUACAGAGAGAUUCUACCUUGCUAUUUUUGAAGUUGGAGGAAGGAGGACAUGAGCCAAGGAAUACCAGGGAGCCUCUAGAAGCUGGAAAGGGCAAGGCCCUGGAUUCUCCUCUAGAGCCUCCGGAAAGAAAACAGCAUUGCUAAUAAACCCUUGAUUUUAGCCCUCUGAGACCCAUGCCAGAUUUACAGGACCCUGAAUAAUAAAUUAUUGUGUUAAGCCACUAAAAUAGUGGGAAUUUGUUACAGCAGCAACAGAAAAUGGAUACAACCUUCAAGAAUUAAUCUCAUUGUGAAAAAAAAAAACUUAUGGGCCGAUGAAUGAUUAUGCUUUUCAGAUGAGAAUGCCAUUCACAAGUAUCCAAUAUCACUUCUAAAGUAUUUUUUCCUAUUAAGAUAAUUUACACAUAUUGAACCCUCAACUUUGGGAGGCAUGGAUGAGUGUGAGGUUAAACCUAAGCCCUAUUCCCUGCACUUUUUGGUUUUUGAUACUGUUGUGCUAUCUUCCCCAGAAGAUGUAAAAUAAAUAUCUAAGUAAAAAAAUUUUGUAUUUCCUAGAGAGUCAAGAAAAUAAAUUAUUUAUUCAAAAUAUGGAAUGGCAAAAAAGCCUGUCAUUUUAAUUCCAAUUACAUGUCGAACCUCUAUUUUUCUCAUUCUUUCACCUAUGAACUAUCUCUUAUUUUUAAAAAAGUACUGAAAAGUAAUAAAAAAAAUAGCAUUGUCAUGUUCAUUAAAUUUUGGUCCAUCUAUGAAACACAAACAAAAACACAUCUUAUAAAUACAUCCUAGAAAAACUGCAGGCAAAAUGUCGUUUUCAACAUUUAAAAUAGACUGGGAAAAACUGAAGCUUUAUCAGAAAUGUCUAUUAAUACAGAUUUUGUAACAAUUCAGAAAUAUAUUUGGUUAUGACUGAAUUCCAAGUUAUUAAAAAAACUGUCAAAAUCAGUUUUUAAAACAUGAGACAUUAUAUAAUAGAGGCUUAACUACAAAUAUAAUUACGCUAUUAAUCUAUCAUUAUCUUUGAUGACUAAAAUGACAUUUUUCUUUAAAAUAUAAAAUUUUGACUCUUUACAAAUUUGGACAGGACUUCCACAACUCUACGUUGAUGAUGAGGUUUUACCGCAUAUAAUUAAAGAACAUCUGCAUGUUAAGUGUUUCAUUUUUCAGUAGCUGUGUUCACAGCAUACCCAGCUUUCCUUCACCUAUCGAACAUGUUACUAUUUCAGAGCAUUUUUCUCUCACUAGAUAAGGUUCUGAGGAGGAGAUGCUCUAUUAGAAGGGCAGCUGUUGGGAAGUAGCAAUCUAAUCACAACCGACUAGUCCUAAUGCUAGGCAGAGAAAAUAACUUUUAUAAGAUACACUGUCCUUUGCUUUCAGUCCCCUCACCUCAAGUAAGAGGAAAAAUAAAGUGAGAGUUCUAAGGGACGUUAAAUUUGAUUUUUUUUUUUUCUUGAGUCACUUAGGCCACAGUUCACUGAACUAUAAUUCAAGUAUAAUAAGCCUUAAAUAUGCAAAGUAUUUUUGAUUAGUUUUGACAUCUGAAACCAUCGCCACAAUACAAAUAAUGAACAUUAUUAGCUCCUCAAAUUUCCUCAAGUCCCUUAGUGAUUCAUCCUAGGCCUCUCCACUACCCUCAGCCCGAAGCCUCAGCAACCACUGACCUACUCUCUGUCACUACGGAUACAUCUGCAUUUCCUAAAAUCUUACAGAAAUAAAAUCAUACAACAUGCAUUCUUUUUUGCCUGGCUUCUUUCACUCAGCAUACUUAUGUUGAGAUUUGUCCAUUUUGUUGCUUAUAUCAAUAGUUCUUUUCUCUUUAAAUCUGAGUAGUAUUCCUAAAGUUCAUUUUUUUAUUCAUAUCAUGAAACUUGAGUGGACAAAUUAAUGAACUGGGAUUCAUGGUUAUCUCUGCGGCCAAAUGCUACAUGUACUUUGCAAGAUAACAUUAUGAAAUUAGUAUAGUAUUUACCAUUAAAAAAAUGUUAACCUCAGCUCAGAGAUUCCAUUACUUUGGCAAUGAGCAAAUGGUUCUUAGCAAGAGGUUAUUGCUGCAUAAAAUAGGAAGGAAAUUUGGAGAGGGGGAAAAACACAAAUGCCCUGUGCCAUCAUUGCCGAUGCCUGAAAAGGAAGAAUUACAAAACCUCAGUUUGAGAAAACAUAUUUUUUGUACUUCAUUAUUUUAAGGAUUGUGUGAAUAUAAUUAGAACAUAAAAGCAAACAGCAGUUUAAAGACAACUUCCGAUAAAAGUUAGAAGAACUAGGAUUUGAGUAAGGGAGAAGGGGGCUAUCAUCUGGGCCACAGCCAUUCCAGAUGAUACUCUUUGUUUUCCCAAAGUAUGAAAGCUCUGUUAAAAAGAUAUAGUGACGUUAAUUCUAGAAUUCUGCAAUUGUGGUGUUGUGAACAUAUUUGCAAUAUUAAUUAAAACGAAAAAUGAAAAUACUUUUAUAGUCUAAGCACUGAGCAUUUGCUCACAAAACAGAAUUCUCUGCUUAUCAAAACAGUCUCCACAAAUGGACCAAAUCAAUAUACAUUAGUAUGUAAAUAAGAAAACACCAAUGUUGGUCAGAGAUAGGAAAGGGAAAAUCCCUCUUCUAUCAAUAUCCUGUACACCCUAUCUCUUGUCCUGUCACUGCUCCUAACCAGCAGAAUCCAAGCCUGACAAUUUCUCCUCUAUCUCCUUUUCAGGUUUAACUGCCUCAACCUAGUGGGUAAAGGCUAAAGUUUCUCAGAGCUCAACUGUCAGCCCUCUCUUUUUUCUGUCUCUGACAAUCUCAUCCAUUCUCAUAUCCUUAAUUGUCACCUCUACAUGGUGACUCACAACAGUGUAUCUCCAGCCAAGACCUCCCCUCAUAGCUCUAGACAUACAUCUAUUCACCUACUUGAAAAAUUCUGUUGGAUGUUCCUAAGUCACCUCAGAAUAAACAUGCCAAAACUCAACUUUUUUAUAUUCCCAACAUGAUUCUCUUCCGUAAUUCCCUCUCUUGGUGAAUGAUUCAUCUAGCUACCCACACACUGGAGCCAACCUUGACACGUCCCUCUUCCUCAUCCCCUUCCUAACCACCAUCGGUUCUUGCUUUUACCCCCUAAACACAGUACCUUUCUUCAAUCAGUCCACUUCUAUCCAUUCUGCCUGCUUUCUUCUACUCCAAAUUGUCAUCAUGGACAACAGCAAUAACUUGCUAACAAGUCAACCCAUACUGCUUCCAGUCCCCUUUAUUUAGUCUCUGUAAUUCAGCCAGAGGGAUCCUUCUAUACAUAUAUCAUCCCCUCUUGACUCUCAGUAUAUCUCAAAUUCAACCAAAACUUUUUACCGUACCUACUCAAUAUCCUUUUAAUCUAUCUACUUUUCUCCACUUCCAAAGCCACUCAAGUAGACCCUGACAUCAUCAACUCUUGCCUAGAUUAUACCAACCACUUCAAACUGCUCUCUUCACUUCCAGUCUUUGCUCCUUCAUCUGUUUUAUAAGUU